Molecule: long non-coding RNA, 1995 nt
Organism: Gasterosteus aculeatus aculeatus (three-spined stickleback)
Lineage: Eukaryota; Metazoa; Chordata; Actinopteri; Perciformes; Gasterosteidae
Source: Ensembl
GACAGGGCAGGCAGGCGUCGGGAUCGGAGGCUCCGAGUCGGUUCUGCACAGUGCCAGGAGGGCAGGGGAACUCUCGUCCUAGAGACAUCCCCGGAGGACAGUAGUAUCCAGCGGGACAUAAGGAAGGCUGUAUAGUACCUUUAACUGAGCCACAACAAGAAUAAACACAUAUCAUAUUGAAAGCGAACAAUUAAAUGAGAAACCAUUGGGCCCAGUGCCGUAAAAUGAAUUACAAUCAAUAAAUGUAAGUUAUUGAAAAUUGAAUGUGAAGAAAAAGUCUCUCUUAGAAAUUGUUUCCUACCUUGACAGUAGUACCCAGGUGUGCAUGUAGUGCAAUUGUCUUGAUGUAUGUUUCCUGUUUCAGAGCUAAAUGUUCCUGCAGAACAAGGGAUUGGGACCAGUGUCCCUCUGGGGCAAAAGAAACCAGCAGGGCACAGAGCCGUAUCUGCUCUGCUGGAGCCCCAGUCGCAAUAAAACCCUGCCCAGCAAUCCCCUAAAGCCGGAAAAGGGGAAACCACACACUAUAUUGAAAGAUGUUAUCUUUAAAAUCCAUGAAUUCAAAAUAAACUGCAGGGGGAAUGAAAAAAACCCAACAUUCGCUUUGGGUGUGUUUUAAUCUACCUGCUGUUUGCCCCCGUUGGCAGAAUUUCCCGGGUGGACAGAGAGAUCCAGUUCUGUUGUCAGUCGGGUUGGGCACUGUGGCGCCCAUCAAACACAGAAACCCAGCAGCACACGGCCCCGAAGGCUGAACCAACCCGUCAGACCCACAAAACUGACCCGCUGGACACACAAAGCACUCACCUGUCAACACACAUCGACAGCUUUGACUUUAGUCCAAACAGAACAACAAGCUACCUGCCAGAUGCAUCAGUCGCGUCUCUCACAUGGUUGCCAGCUGCUAAGGUUUUCAAUGUGGGUAAGUAAACUACAUUUUAAACGUUUGGAAACAAAAAGAUUCUACGGCAUCUUGUAAUUCCACUUCUGUCACAGAGGUUGAGGCCUUUUACCUGUGGAGGUGAGACCGUGGCGGGGGCUGUAGGUGCCUUUGGGGCAGGGAAAAGGGUGACUGUCUGGAUUCUCCCUGGGACAUAUGUAGCCGGCCGGGCAGGGCAGAGGGCUGGAGACUCCAGUAGGGCCUCCCAUGGUGGGGCUGCUACUCGGGUACUGGCAGUGGAACCCAGCAGGGCAGGGAUCACACUCUGUUUGGCCCGAUAAAUCCUGGAACCAGCCUGGUUCAAAGACAUUCAAACAUCUCAUUCCGGUAAGAGCCAGCCGGACAGGGUGUGGGAACGCUGCUGCCCUCUGCGCAGUAGUGGCCCGCGGGACAAACACUUCCAGAUUCACUUGACAUUGGGGCAGCAGUCUGGGAUCCCUCUAGACAGCAGGGCCCAGAGACUACCGAGAGGCCGAUCUCUGAACAGUAGAAGCCUGGAAUGCAGCUACGACACUGGGACUCCUCCACCAGCCUGCUCUGCUCACUGUGGAAAGAGUCACAUCAACCAUAAACCACUGAAAUAAUAAGGGGAUUUUCUGUCACCUGGAUAACAAUUGCUCAUUAUUACAUCACAGAAGUCACUCCUUCUCACUACCGCAAUCUGCCUUUUCAUCACACUUUUAUAUUUUCUACUGGCAAAGCAAAAGGUUAAACAAGGAAAAUCAUCCAUCUCUCUGGAUUCAAUUUUACCUUCAAACUUUAAUCCAUUACCACUACAAACAAUGUUUAGUCACCAUGUAAUGUGUUGCUGUAGUUUGGAAUUAAAAUUCAAAAUGUGUCUCAUGAAUAACUCGGUUCACGGUAAUUAGAGAUAUGGAUAUUAGCACGUUUGUAGAGAUAUUGCAGGGUGUGCACCUGAAUGUUCCUUUCGGGCAUGCUUUUGGAGAAGAAGUCCCCACGGAGCAGAAGAAGCCGGGAGGGCAUGGGAAGCCAGUCACAUUAUCGAGUGGUGAAGAUUCAGAGGCUCCGCCAACACAAACAAACCCUGCAGCACACGGCCC